Molecule: long non-coding RNA, 230 nt
Filed under: Physcomitrium patens
Lineage: Eukaryota; Viridiplantae; Streptophyta; Bryopsida; Funariales; Funariaceae
Description: long non-coding RNA (PPAT_LNC009311)
Source: RNAcentral
UAAAAGAUUGGUUUUAAGUAUGCAAAAAGAUCAAUAAAUAAGACAAAUGAAUAGAUAAUGAAUUUUAGAGGUAUAUAUAUAAUAGAUAAGGUAUCAAUAGAUAGUCUUGGUAGAAACUUGAAUAGAUAUAUUCAUCAAAAUAUGAAAGUUAUUUAUUAGGGCAACAACCACCACCUAUAAGUAAUAGAUAUUAGAAAGAAGAGUUAUCUUAUUAUAUAAUCUCUUUAUGU